CAGUCGCCGCGGGAAUACGUAGGUGGCAAGCGUUGUCCGGAAUUAUUGGGCGUAAAGCGCGCGCAGGCGGAUAGGUCAGUCUGUCUUAAAAGUUCGGGGCUUAACCCCGUGAUGGGAUGGAAGCUGCCAAUCUAGAGUAUCGGAGAGGAAAGUGGAAUUCCUAGUGUAGCGGUGAAAUGCGUAGAUAUUAGGAAGAACACCAGUGGCGAAGGCGACUUUCUGGACGAAAACUGACGCUGAGGCGCGAAAGCCAGGGGAGCGAACGGGAUUAGAUACCCCUGUAGUCCCUGUCUCUCAUACA
This 301-nucleotide ribosomal RNA is filed under the name uncultured bacterium. RNAcentral describes it as "partial 16S ribosomal RNA". It matches the Rfam family "Bacterial small subunit ribosomal RNA", at positions 509 to 809 of the family's 1533-position model. The record is from RNAcentral.